This 78-nucleotide small RNA is filed under the name Flavobacterium collinsii. Its description in RNAcentral is "Flavo-1". It matches the Rfam family "Flavo-1 RNA". The record is from RNAcentral. Lineage: Bacteria; Pseudomonadati; Bacteroidota; Flavobacteriia; Flavobacteriales; Flavobacteriaceae.
UCCUAGCCCCGAUAGAAGUGGAAAUCCUUUUGUGGCGGGGUUCGCCACAAAAGAUUGGAACGGAUAGCGGGAUUAGCU